UGGAAAAUAGCUCGAAAUAAGGUCUGUGGUUGACACAAAUUGAAGAGACAGAUCACGUCUUGUGCUAUUUACUGUGUGUUUAUAUAUGUUAUAUGACUGUGUUCGCUUAUGAGAACAUACGAUACAAUCGUCAGGAACUACUGGAUAUUGGCUUCCAACACAAGCUUCCCAUUCUUAGGGAAUUCCACCGCAAUCACAACAUCCCAGACGAGGUAGCGAGAUCACCGGAAUCCCCGUGGAUUGUUGUCGGGCCAGGCAGGCGGCAUAGACGGCGGAGAGAGAGGAAGCAAAAGCGGGGCUGCCGGUCCGGUCUCCUGUUGAGGCUAAGGAAUCAGCCACACAAACCUCCCCUGCCGAGUAUGUACCUCACCAACGCCAGGUCCAUAGUGCACAAAACGGACGAUCUGGUAUUACAACUCGCCGGAAACACCUACGUUUGUGACUGUUGUUUACUUGUGAUCACUGAGACCUGGCUUCACCCACAAAUCUCAGAUGCUAGCGUGCAGCGAGCAGGCCGCACACUACUCCGCUGGGACAGAGACAAGGACUCUGGUAAGAGCCGAGGGGGGGGUCUCUGUAUGUACGUACAUAACAACUGGUGUAAUAACGGCAUCAUCAUUGACCAUCACUGCUCUCCUGACCUGGAGUUCAUGUCGGUUAAAUGCUGCCCGUUCUUUCUACCUAGAGAGCUAACUGUAGUGAUUGUCACGGCUGUGUAUAUACCACCACAAGCUAACGUCAACACUCCACUCUCCCUCCUGCUAAACCCCAUCAACCACCAACAGCAGGCUCACCCCGGUGGCGUUCACAUUGUUGCAGGAGAUUUCAAUAAGGCCAAACUAAAAUCUGUCCUGCCUAAAUUCUACCAGCAUGUCAAGUGUCCGACCAGAGGGAAAAACACUCUUGAUCAUGUGUACUCCAACAUCAAGCACGCAUACAGAGCCAUACCUCUCCCCCACCUGGCCUGUCAGAUCAUAUCUCCCUGCUACUGACCCCGGCAUACAACCCCCUUAGACGGAGAACAAGUCCAACAAGAAAGUCUGUUACAAUCUGGCCUGAGGAUGCACUUGCUCAGCUUCAGGACUGCUUUGAACACACCCAGUGGGAUGUAUUUGAACACCAGCACCUGGACCUGGCAAACAACACAGAGACGGUACUGUCCUACAUUAAAUACUGUAUCAACAAUGUCACUGUGGUAAAAAGCAUCAGGGUUUUCCCAAACCAGAAACCCUGGAUGACUGGCCGGGUCCGCAUGCUGCUCAAGGCCCGUGACUCAGCCUUCAGAUCAGGGGACAGAGCUCUCUACAGUGCUGCUCGAGGCGACCUGAGGAGGGGAAUUACAAAAGCCAAGACAGACUACAAAAAAAGGAUUGAGGACCACCUCACAAGCAACAACCCUAGGCAGGUGUGGCAGGGCAUUAAGAACAUAACCAACUACAGGGGGUGUGACACGACAACUGGGGACUGGGACGUCAUAGCCAUAGCUCUCCACUCUGCACUGAGCCACCUGGAGCAUCGUGGGAGCUACGUCAGAUUGCUCUUUAUUGACUACAGCUCAGCGUUCAACACAAUCAUCCCCGACAUUCUAGUUUGCAAACUAUCAAACCUAGGCCUUCCCCCACCCACCUGUUCCUGGAUCAAAGAUUUCCUCACUAACCGCCCCCAGCGUGUGAGACUUGGCCCCCAUCACUCCUCCACCCGCACUCUCAGCACCGGCUCUCCUCAGGGAAUAACAUCAAUGCCCUAUACCAAAACAUUUGAAUCACACCUUUCCCUCAUAAUGCUGAUGUUGGUCUAAACUUUAAUUCACUUAUAAUAUUAGGCUAGUUUAAAUUACAGCUAUAUCUAUGAUCUAACUAACACCUUUUUUUGGAUGGAUGAGCGAGAUAUGAUAACAAAUAUGAUAACAUAUAUAAUGUAUUUUUAUUUCAGACUGGCAAGGUGAAUGCAGAUGCUUUUCAGAGAAGCUUUCUGCAGUAUGUGUACUGCACAUUUGAAGAGAAUAAACUUCUGGGUAAAGAGCCAUAUGUCUGUCCAACCUGUAGCCCUGAAAUGUUGGCUGUUUCAGUAGAUGGCAAUAGGAAACUUUACAGGUUCCAGAAAACAAACCAGAGUGAAGAGCCAGGCUUCUUUGACGGAGUGUUUUUAGCCCAAGACUCUGAGGUUUCCACUUUUGUGGAGGAUGUUCGAGGGGCUGUCAAAAGUGUGAGUUUUAAAUGAAGCAGAGCAAAAUGUAUCUCACCUUUUUUAAUAACUAAUUGAAGUUAAAAUAGUAGUAACAAAGUUGCCUUCAUAUUUUUUUGGAGAUGGGAUAGAAGUGUUGAGACCAGAUGACAGGGUGAUGAGGUUAGCAAUGCGGUCAAACUGUCACAAACAUUAUUGCUGUAAAACUGGAUUGAAAAAACAGCUAAAUUCUAAUCCAGAAUAUAUUACACAUUUGGAGCCUUCCAAUUAUCCAAAAACGGGUUUGUUAUUAUCCAGGGAGUUGCAUAUCCAGAUGAAUCUGUCAGUCGAGCACAAAAAACUUGUGUGUAAUAGUUGAUAUGUUUGACAAUACCGUCAGUUGGUUCCACUAUCCAGUGUUUUGAAAUAACUUCUGAUAAUGAUUCUCUAAAAACGAUUUACUUUGGUAGACUGCAGGAAAAGCAAUGUGUGGGGAAUCUCACUGGACAGCUGCAAGGGAGACCAUUUACACGAGAACGAAACAGGUUGUAUCUGCAUAGUUUCUCUUACGUAUAGCCCUUUCAUUUACACGCGGC
This is an RNA transcript of Trematomus bernacchii (emerald rockcod), 2759 nucleotides long. RefSeq lists it as uncharacterized. The record is from RefSeq and is a predicted model, not a curated record. Lineage: Eukaryota; Metazoa; Chordata; Actinopteri; Perciformes; Nototheniidae. The transcript is spliced from 2 exons.